RNAcentral lists this ribosomal RNA (443 nucleotides) under uncultured bacterium. RNAcentral's name for it is "partial 16S ribosomal RNA". It matches the Rfam family "Bacterial small subunit ribosomal RNA", at positions 338 to 795 of the family's 1533-position model. The record is from RNAcentral.
CCUACGGGGGACAGCAGUGGGGAAUAUUGGGCAAUGGGCGCAAGCCUGACCCAGCAACGCCGCGUGAAGGAAGAAGGCUUUCGGGUUGUAAACUUCUUUUUUCAGGGACGAAGCAAGUGACGGUACCUGAUGAAUAAGACACGGCUAACUAUGUGCCAGCAGCCGCGGUAAUACGGAGGUGGCAAGCGUUAUGCGGAUUUACUGGGUGUAAAGGGCGGGUGGACGGGAGUGUAAGUCAGAUGUGAAAACUAUGGGCUCAACCCUUAACUUGCAUUGGAAACUGGCAAACUAGAGUACAGGGGAGGUAAGCGGAAUUCCUGGUGUAGCGGUGAAAUGCGUAGAUAUUAGGAAGAACAACGGUGGCGAAGGCGUCUUACUAAACUGAAACUGACAUUGAGGCUCGAAAGCGUGGGUAGCAAACAGGAUUAGAUACCCGAGUAGUC